CGCGGGAUAGAGCAAUAGGCAGCUCGCCGGACUCAUAACCCGGAGGUCACAGGUUAGAGUACAAUUCCCGCAACUA
Molecule: transfer RNA, 76 nt
Filed under: Flavobacterium petrolei
Lineage: Bacteria; Pseudomonadati; Bacteroidota; Flavobacteriia; Flavobacteriales; Flavobacteriaceae
Description: Flavobacterium sp. Kopri-42 tRNA-Met
Rfam family: tRNA
About the family: Transfer RNA (tRNA) molecules are approximately 80 nucleotides in length. Their secondary structure includes four short double-helical elements and three loops (D, anti-codon, and T loops).
Source: RNAcentral